CAUGCCAUUUGCAAAAGUAAACAACCCAAGGUAUUACAAAUGGGGUAUGUCCAGUCUUUUUAAGUAGCCACUUAGUCACAAACAUUGGCCAAAAUUAGCAUUAGAAUUAGUUUUUUGCAAUUUUCACACACAAACAAAUAUGAACGCUAACUUUGGCCAGUGUUUGUGACUAAGUGGCUACUUAAAAAGACUGGACAUACCCCAUUUGCAAAACCUUGGGUUGCCUACUUUUGUAAAUGGAAUG
Non-coding RNA from Pelobates cultripes (western spadefoot toad), 244 nucleotides. The record is from the annotation of a GenBank genome assembly. Lineage: Eukaryota; Metazoa; Chordata; Amphibia; Anura; Pelobatidae.